This is a long non-coding RNA of Oncorhynchus keta (chum salmon), 270 nucleotides long. RefSeq lists it as uncharacterized. Lineage: Eukaryota; Metazoa; Chordata; Actinopteri; Salmoniformes; Salmonidae. The record is from RefSeq and is a predicted model, not a curated record. The transcript has 3 exons.
AUGCACCCAUUUACACAUAACGAGUACACCUUCAAGGUAGGGGCGGUCGAUACACACAUUUACACACAACGAGUACAGCUUCAAGGUAGGGGCGGUCGAUACACACAUUUACACACAACGAGUACAGCUUCAAGGUAGGGGCAGUCGAUACACACAUUUACACACAACGAGUACAGCUUCAAGGUAGGGGCGGUCGAUACACACAAUGAGUACAGCUUCAAGGUAGGGGCGGUCGAUACACACAUUUACACACAAUGAGUACAGCUUCAA